CCCAUCCAGGAAGGCAGCAGGCGCGUAAAUACCCCCUUAUAACUCUAGAGGUAGUGACAGAAAUAAUUAAGAGGUGCCGUUUCGGUACUUUUUUGAGAAUGAGAAAGAUGUAAAUAUUCUAACGAUGAUCAAUUGGAGGGCAAGUCUGGUGCCAGCAGCCGCGGUAAUUCCAGCUCCAAUAACGUAUAUUAAAGUUGUUGCAGUUGAAAAGCUCGUAGUUGAAUUUGUUCUGAGAAGAGGCCGGGCGCUUGUUUCGGCAAGAUGAAUCCAUGUGCUUCUUUUGGGAAUCAUUUUUGAUCCUGUGAAGGUUCAAAAUCGUUUACUGUAAAAAAAUUAGAGUGUUUGAAGCAGAUCGUAAGAUUGGUAUAUAUUAGUAUGGAAUAAUAAGAUAGGACUUUGGUGCUAUUUUGUUGGUUUGCACACCAAGGUAAUGAUUAAUAGGGACAGUUGGGGGUAUUCGUAUUUAAUUGUCGGAGGUGAAAUUCUUGGAUUUAUGAAAGACGAACUACUGGCGAAAAGCAUUUACCAAGGAUGUUUUCAU
This 541-nucleotide ribosomal RNA is filed under the name uncultured marine stramenopile. RNAcentral describes it as "bacterial SSU rRNA". It matches the Rfam family "Eukaryotic small subunit ribosomal RNA", at positions 411 to 973 of the family's 1831-position model. The record is from RNAcentral.